RNAcentral lists this ribosomal RNA (1935 nucleotides) under Craterolophus convolvulus. RNAcentral describes it as "partial large subunit ribosomal RNA". It matches the Rfam family "Bacterial large subunit ribosomal RNA". Lineage: Eukaryota; Metazoa; Cnidaria; Staurozoa; Stauromedusae; Craterolophidae. The record is from RNAcentral.
CCUAAUAAGCUCUGGUUUACAACACCCAAACUACAACACUCCUGAAAGUUUGGAGUGACCAAAUGGUCUUUUUAAAAUUAACUGAAACAUCUUAAUUUAUAUAAACCAUACGAGAUUUUGUGAGUAGUGGUGAACGAAAGCAAAACAGGGUUAAAGUACUCCCAGAAAGGGCAUACGAUCCAACCCUAAAGCAAUGUAAACAUAUAUAGAGCAAAGUACCGUGAGGGAAAGGUGAAAGAACAUGAAAUAAAAAAUAGGUUAUAUAUCUGUUAUCAAAAACUUACCUUUUGCAUAAUGGACCCACAAGUCAUAAUUUGGCAAACUCAAAGUAAAGUCAAAUUACCCGAAACCAAGUGAUCUACAUAUGAGCAGUUUUAAGAACGAACCGGUGAUUGUGGCAACACUCUCGGAAGACUUGUAUUUAGAGGUGAAAUACUAAUCGAACUUGGCUAUAGCUGGUUUUCUACGAAAGAUAUUUAAGUAUCACUUGAAGUAAAUUAAAUUGGUACUUUUCAAAAAACCCCUUUAAUUAUACUUUGAAGACAGUCCCUAGGCGACAAGGUCUAGGGACCAAAGGGAAACAACCCAGAACUAAAGUUAAGGUCACCUUAAGCCCACCAACGCAUAUAAGAGAUAUUAGGAAAACACACUUUAAGUAGGCUUGGAGCCAGCCACCUUAGAAUGACUACGUAACAGUUCAAAGUGCCCCUAACAAUUUCUUUAAAUUAAGGUGACUUAUCACUUACCAAAACUUAGUGUAAGGUAGUAGAACGUACUGAUUUAACUGAUUGUAAAUAAAUCAGUAGCGCCACUGUGGGUAUGAGUAACAUCCCCCCUAGAGAUUGUCAAACCGGCCUCUAAGUCUUAUUAUUAAUACAAUGAGUAGAUACCUUAAUUUUCAGGAAACUAGAGUAUCAUGAAACCGUAUCAAAACACGCUUUAGGGAAAUUAACUAGAUCUACUUCUUCAAAGGAACUCGGCAAACUAAAUAAAAAGUUUCUACGAACACCGACUGUUUACCAAAAACAUAGCCCCUAGAUCCAUAUUAGAGGUGACGCCUGCCCGAUGAUUUGGCCUAAACUAAUAACUUUAGUUAACUCAAAUUCAAUGGCCGCGGUAUUUCUGACCGUGAUAAUGUAGCGAAAUCAAUCGUCACUUAAUUGCUGACCGGUAUGAAAGGUAUCACGAGUGUUCAACUGUCUCUGAAGAAGGCCCUGUGAAAUUGUAGGGGCCGUGCAUAUACGGCCCACCCCUUGUAAGACGAAAAGACCCUAUUGAGCUUUACUAUUAGUUUCCCGCCUCUUAAGGCUUAUAGGUAACCCCCUGUAAGCCUAAUUUCGGGGAGUGAGGUAGUUUCGUUGGGGCGACGGCCUUUAAAAAAGCAACAAAGGCUAACAAAGGUAUGAUAUAAAUGUAUCCGACUUGACUACUAGGGGUAUUUCCCGUGUAGACACAUCCGUGAGUCAUAGUAUUCCACCAUAGGUUAACACUUAUGGUGCCAAAACAUAAAAGUUACCAUAGGGAUAACAGCGUAAUUUUGUUGAAGAGCUCUUAUCGAUGACAAAGAUUGCGACCUCGAUGUUGAAUUGUGGUAUCCUGAAGGUGUAGCCGCUUUCAAGGGUUGGUCUGUUCGACCAUUAAAACCAUACAUGAUUUGAGUUCAUUCCGCCGUCAGGCAGGAAGGUUUCUAUCUACAAGCCUCCCCCUAAUUAGAUGACUAGGUAGUACGAAAGGACCCCUAUUUAACCACCUCUAACUAUUUACGUGGUAAGAAGUAUCUCUGAACGACACUAAGAGAGAAGCCUACUAAUUAAGGUUACCCUAUCCAAAGCUAUCCCCCCUAUACAAUUAAUUUAAGUGAUAUAGCUACCGCCAAUGAAUUUGGUACUAAGUGAAAUGAAUUUUUUACCAUACCCUUUAAAACCACCCGAACAA